This 773-nucleotide ribosomal RNA is filed under the name uncultured archaeon. RNAcentral's name for it is "bacterial SSU rRNA". It matches the Rfam family "Archaeal small subunit ribosomal RNA", at positions 37 to 818 of the family's 1478-position model. The record is from RNAcentral.
ACGCAUGUCUAGCAUGCGAGUCAUUGUAGCAUACAAGGCAUACGGCUCAGUAACGCGUAGUCAACCUAACCUAUGGACGGGAAUAACCUCGGGAAACUGAGAAUAAUGCCCGAUAGAACACUAUACCUGGAAUGGUUUGUGUUCCAAAUGAUUUAUCGCCAUAGGAUGGGACUGCGGCCUAUCAGUUUGUUGGUGAGGUAAUGGCCCACCAAGACUAUUACAGGUACGGGCUCUGAGAGGAGUAGCCCGGAGAUGGGUACUGAGACACGGACCCAGGCCCUAUGGGGCGCAGCAGGCGAGAAAACUUUGCAAUGUGCGAAAGCACGACAAGGUUAAUCCGAGUGAUUUGUGCUAAACGAAUCUUUUGUUAGUCCUAGAAACACUAACGAAUAAGGGGUGGGCAAGUUCUGGUGUCAGCCGCCGCGGUAAAACCAGCACCUCAAGUGGUCAGGAUGAUUAUUGGGCCUAAAGCAUCCGUAGCCGGCUCUGUAAGUUUUCGGUUAAAUCUGUACGCUUAACGUACAGGCUGCCGGGAAUACUGCAGAGCUAGGGAGUGGGAGAGGUAGACGGUACUCGGUAGGAAGUGGUAAAAUGCUUUGAUCUAUCGAUGACCACCUGUGGCGAAAGGCGGUCUACCAGAACACGUCCGACGGUGAGGGAUGAAAGCUGGGGGAGCAAACCGGGAUUAGAUACCCGGGUAGUCCAGCUGUAACUAUGCAAACUCAGUGAAUGCAUGCUGUGCCCAAUGCAGUGCUGCCAAGGUAAGCCUUCGU